AACGAACGCUGGCGGCAUGCCUAACACAUGCAAGUCGAACGAGACCUUCGGGUCUAGUUGCGCACGGGUGCGUAACGCGUGGGGACUUGCCCUUAGGUUCGGAAUACCUCCCCGAAAGAGGUGCUCAUACCGGUUAAUGUAAUCGGACCAAAGAUUUAUUGCCUCUGGAUCGGCACGCGUUGGCUUCGUCAGUUGGUAGGGGAAAAGCCUACCAAGGCGACGAUCCAUAGCUGGUCUGAGAGGAUGAUCAGCCACGCUGGGACGGAGACACGGCCUCGACUCCUACGCAGGGGGGCAGUGGGUAAUAGUGUAGAAUGGACGAAGGUGUGAUCCAGCAGUGCCGCGUGAGUGAUGAAGGCGUUAGGAUUGUACAUCUGUUUUACCCGAGAUGUUAGUGACAGUACCGGGAGAAUAAGCACCGGCUAACUCCGUG
RNAcentral lists this ribosomal RNA (433 nucleotides) under uncultured bacterium. RNAcentral describes it as "partial 16S ribosomal RNA". It matches the Rfam family "Bacterial small subunit ribosomal RNA", at positions 29 to 507 of the family's 1533-position model. The record is from RNAcentral.